GAUGAACGCUGGCGGCGUGCUUAACACAUGCAAGUCGAACGGAAAGGCCCAAGCUUGCUUGGGUACUCGAGUGGCGAACGGGUGAGUAACACGUGGGUGAUCUGCCCUGCACUUCGGGAUAAGCCUGGGAAACUGGGCCUAAUAUCGUAUAGGACCACUUCUUGGAGGUUGUGGUGGAAAGCUUUUUCGGUGUGGGAUGAGCGCGCGGCCUAUCAGCUUGUUGGUGGGGUAAUGGCCUACCAAGGCGUCGACGGGUAGCCGGCCUGAGAGGGUGUACGGCCACAUUGGGACUGAGAUACGGACCAGACUCCUACGGGAGGCAGCAGUGGGGAAUAUUGCACAAUGGGCGCAAGCCUGAUGCAGCGACGCCGGGUGGGGGAUGACGGCCUUCGGGUUGUAAACUGCUUUCGCUAGGGACGAAGCGCAAGUGACGGUACCUAGAGAAGAAGCACCGGCUAACUACGUG
Molecule: ribosomal RNA, 466 nt
Filed under: uncultured bacterium
Lineage: Bacteria
Description: partial 16S ribosomal RNA
Rfam family: Bacterial small subunit ribosomal RNA
Source: RNAcentral